This 29-nucleotide non-coding RNA is filed under the name Mus musculus (house mouse). Lineage: Eukaryota; Metazoa; Chordata; Mammalia; Rodentia; Muridae. The record is from RNAcentral.
UAAUGGAUUAAUAGAGUGAUGCCCGUGAC